CUUCCGGAAGUCUGUGUCCUAGAAGUUAUCCCCGCACAAGCCACAGGCGCCUGAGCUCCACAUUUUGGAGAAAAGGAAUGGUUAGAAUCAUGGCAGGAUUGCUGAGGCAGUGAAUUGAAGAGGCUGCGUAGUGCUUGCAACCAGUUACCAUAUUUCCCUGGAGGAAUCACCAGCAACCGACUCUCCCAGGACUUACGAGGUGCUUCCCUUAUCACCAGCCGUCUCAGCACAAGUAGUAAGAGAUAAGAAGGCAGCUGAGGUACACGCUUUGCCUCGUGGGUGUGAACCAAGUAGCGGGCACAGAGAGCCGCCACUGAGGGACGUCGGAUGAAGUGAUGGGAUUCGUCACCUGUCAUCAUUGCAUCAGCUCUUUACGUAGCCAUGUGUGGGCUAUACCCAGCAGUGCACUCUGUAUUCUGUGCAGUUAAUUACAUUUAACGUACCAUGUAGUGGCAGGCACAGUGUGCAUUUUGGGUUACAAGCCAUUGCUUGUUGGACUUCUCUGCCAGCCUCUUUACUCAAUUCUCACCGUCCCGGAGCAGAGAACUUCAUUAGAGAAGUAGUGAGACUUUUUCAGUUUCAAAAAUUUAGGUCAGUGCCAGAUCUUCAGCAUCCUUUGUUUGAAGGCAACAGAAACAGGCUCAGCUGAUUGGUGUCAGUUAUUGGAAGCUCAUGGAAUUGAAGAAAAAAAGCGUGGAAAGUCAAAUAACGUGGAGUCUUCCGUUUCAACUGAAGGAGGGCCAGGGACAAAGCAGGUGAUCUUAGAUGCCCCAGGGACCCAGAAGCCAGGCUCAAAGGCUCAGUCCCCACCCUCCUGAACACAGGCACUCUCAAUCAGCUGGCUGAGUUCCUUGUUUGAAGACACUGGAAGACGGAUUCACUGCAGAGGCCCCUGACAGUGACUGAUUGUCCACUGAGAGGCAGUUGUAUAAGAUCAAUGUCAUUCACAAGAGAAGCAAGGAGAAACACACAGCUUUCUAGACACUGGACCGUUUAGUUGUUACAAGCAUACGUACAUUUUAUAAAACAGUAAUUAUAUUGUAGAUAUGGUUUUUAUCCUCAUAGUUAUUUUUGUACAAUUAUGAAAUGCAAGGUUAUUGCUGAGAGAUUCAUCCAUGCUACAGCCAUUGCAAAUUACAUCUUAUCACUAAGCAGGUGCCCCACCUCCUUAUUUUUUCUUAUUAGUAAAAACAUAUUUGUGAUUUAAAU
This 1209-nucleotide long non-coding RNA is filed under the name Homo sapiens (human). Its description in RNAcentral is "HSALNT0197636". Lineage: Eukaryota; Metazoa; Chordata; Mammalia; Primates; Hominidae. The record is from RNAcentral.